UACAGAGGGUGCAAGCGUUAAUCGGAAUUACUGGGCGUAAAGCGUGCGUAGACGGUCAUGUAAGUCGGGUGUGAAAGCCCCGGGCUCAACCUGGGAAUUGCAUUCGAGACUGCAUGGCUAGGAUGCGGAAGAGGGAAGCGGAAUUUCCGGUGUAGCGGUGAAAUGCGUAGAUAUCGGGAGGAACACCAGUGGCGAAGGCGACUACCUGGCCUGUUCUUGACGCUGAGGCGCGAAAGCUAGGGGAGCAAACGGG
RNAcentral lists this ribosomal RNA (253 nucleotides) under uncultured bacterium. RNAcentral describes it as "partial 16S ribosomal RNA". It matches the Rfam family "Bacterial small subunit ribosomal RNA", at positions 524 to 776 of the family's 1533-position model. The record is from RNAcentral.